Molecule: ribosomal RNA, 519 nt
Filed under: uncultured bacterium
Lineage: Bacteria
Description: bacterial SSU rRNA
Rfam family: Bacterial small subunit ribosomal RNA
Source: RNAcentral
GAGUUUGAUCCUGGCUCAGGAUGAACGCUGGCGGCGUGCUUAACACAUGCAAGUCGAACGAAGCACUUUAUUUGAUUUCCUUCGGGACUGAUUAUUUUGUGACUGAGUGGCGGACGGGUGAGUAACGCGUGGGUAACCUGCCUUGUACAGGGGGAUAACAGUUGGAAACGGCUGCUAAUACCGCAUAAGCGCACAGCAUCGCAUGAUGCAGUGUGAAAAACUCCGGUGGUAUGAGAUGGACCCGCGUCUGAUUAGGUGGUUGGUGGGGUAACGGCCUACCAAGCCGACGAUCAGUAGCCGACCUGAGAGGGUGACCGGCCACAUUGGGACUGAGACACGGCCCAAACUCCUACGGGAGGCAGCAGUGGGGAAUAUUGCACAAUGGGGGAAACCCUGAUGCAGCGACGCCGCGUGAGCGAUGAAGUAUUUCGGUAUGUAAAGCUCUAUCAGCAGGGGAGAAAAUGACGGUACCUGACUAAGAAGCACCGGCUAAAUACGUGCCAGCAGCCGCGGUAAUUC